Molecule: ribosomal RNA, 491 nt
Filed under: uncultured bacterium
Lineage: Bacteria
Description: partial 16S ribosomal RNA
Rfam family: Bacterial small subunit ribosomal RNA
Source: RNAcentral
GUGAACGCUGGCGGUAGGCCUAACACAUGCAAUUCGCACGGCAGCACAGUAAGAGCUUGCUCUUACGGGUGGCGAGUGGCGGACGGGUGAGGAAUACAUCGGAAUCUACUUUUUCGUGGGGGAUAACGUAGGGAAACUUACGCUAAUACCGCAUACGACCUACGGGUGAAAGCAGGGGAUCUUCGGACCUUGCGCGAUUGAAUGAGCCGAUGUCGGAUUAGCUAGUUGGCGGGGUAAAGGCCCACCAAGGCGACGAUCCGUAGCUGGUCUGAGAGGAUGAUCAGCCACACUGGAACUGAGACACGGUCCAGACUCCUACGGGAGGCAGCAGUGGGGAAUAUUGGACAAUGGGCGCAAGCCUGAUCCAGCCAUACCGCGUGGGUGAAGAAGGCCUUCGGGUUGUAAAGCCCUUUUGUUGGGAAAGAAAAGCAGCAGGUUAAUACCCCGCUGUUCUGACGGUACCCAAAGAAUAAGCACCGGCUAACUUCGUG